Molecule: long non-coding RNA, 316 nt
Organism: Nycticebus coucang (slow loris)
Lineage: Eukaryota; Metazoa; Chordata; Mammalia; Primates; Lorisidae
Exons: 3
Source: RefSeq, a predicted model, not a curated record
ACUGUGCCCAGAGUCAAUGGUCAUACCAACAGUAAGUGCUGAAGCUGGGAUCCAGCUACAAGUGCUUCAUAAGAACCGCCACGUGUUUUGAGUAUCAACACCCAGAUAUGACAAGAGCCUCAUCCACAGAAGCUCACUCUGAUGGAAACUUUUCCAUCUUCAAGGUACAGAUGAAGUCCCAUCUUUUCUGUGAAGUCUUAUGGCCAUCUAAGUCCACCAGUGCAAGCCCCGGUUCCCCUGAGAUCUAUUGGAGAGCAAAUUUCUACAGGCAGAAAAUCUAAGCAGAGAGGGCUCUUCGCAGCCGCGUGCAGCUGGG